RNAcentral lists this ribosomal RNA (252 nucleotides) under uncultured bacterium. RNAcentral describes it as "partial 16S ribosomal RNA". It matches the Rfam family "Bacterial small subunit ribosomal RNA", at positions 524 to 776 of the family's 1533-position model. The record is from RNAcentral.
UACGUAGGGGGCAAGCGUUGUCCGGAAUCAUUGGGCGUAAAGCGCGCGUAGGCGGCCCGGUAAGUCCGUUGUGAAAGUCAAAGGCUCAACCUUUGAAUGCCGAUGGAUACUGCCGGGCUCGAGUCCGGAAGAGGCGAGUGGAAUUCCUGGUGUAGCGGUGGAAUGCGCAGAAAUCAGGAGGAACACCAAUAGCGAAGGCAGCUCGCUGGGACGGUACUGACGCUAAGGCGCGAAAGCGUGGGAGCGAACAGG